RNAcentral lists this long non-coding RNA (4735 nucleotides) under Heterocephalus glaber (naked mole-rat). Its description in RNAcentral is "lncRNA (ENSHGLG00100037770.1)". Lineage: Eukaryota; Metazoa; Chordata; Mammalia; Rodentia; Bathyergidae. The record is from RNAcentral.
GAUAACCACACCAACUACCAAGAAUCAGUUUUGAGCUACUCAGCCCCUGCCCACCUCUACACCAUGCCACCUGUUCCAUCCCAGUAAUACUGUCUUCAUCAAGGCUUUUCAGAGUGAAGGACUAACUCCAGCCUGGAAGGGAUAAUACACAGUCAUCCUCACAAUGCCCUUGGGUCUCAAGGUUGAUGGAAUUUUGACCUGGGUUCACCAUUCGUGCAUCAUAGUGUGAAACAGUGGACUGCUGAACUGGGACUUGAUCCUUAAAAGCUAAGGCUAGUCCAAUCAUGAUUGUGAUGCUUGUCGUUAUUGUCUUUGGUCUGACUAGGAUGAACUCUGGGGAGAUGCAAUGAGGAGAAUUGCACUCCUUUCUCCUCACCUCUGUUCACUCAGGAAAACUUCUAGGUAAUGUCACUUUUGGUGCCAUCUGACCUGGCAUCCUCUCAGGUUCCCUGAGGUCGAUCUCUGUAAAUUAGUUAGGAGAGAUUGGGAAAGCUACUACUAACUGUUCAUCACCCUGGGCAGCCGUGAGUUUUAUGCGCAUUCAUGUUUCAAUCCAUUUGGACAGCAGGGUUGUGGGUCCUCAACUGACUUCUCCUGCUCUCACUGGGGCUGUGUAAAGAUUACCUCCUAUAGAGGGUUACCAGAUGUCACUAAUGAUAUCAGAGUUUGGAUACAUGGGUGCCUAGUUCCAAUUCUGAUACAAAGACCCUUGAACUCUAAAUGGGCCACAGGAUGGAAUUGGGGAUUCUGCUUCUUGCUCCUUCCAGGACUAAUUCCUCACACAGGUAAAAUCAUGGCAUUUCAGACCAUGUUACUAACCCGGGCAACAAAACAGUGCAAAACCUGUAAAACUGAUGUAUGAGAUCCUACCACAAUUGCUUGCAUAAUCCCUUGCCCAAUUAAGUCUCUAAUUGAGUCAAUACUUUGAUAUCAUGCUUAGAGGAAUUGGGACUAUGAUAGCCAACUCAACUCCAUCUUGAGCCUCAAUAUCAUCUUAUACCUGUGCUUGGACAAAGCACCCCAAACCCCACAUCCUGUUUGGCAGUAAACUUGCUGCAGCUGCUGCAUGUUUUUUAGUUAUCUGAGUGUGUGAAACUUCCUUGUGUCCCCCACUCACCUGACAUGGUUGUGCCUCUGGAGAAAGAAAUGUGGGUUUUUUUUUAUAGAAUGGAGUACUACUCAGCUAUAAAGAAGGAAAAACUAGUGGCAUUUAUAGCUAAGUGACUGCACAUUGAGGCCAUACUCUUAAGUGAAAUAAAUAGGACACACAUGUGCAAAUACCAAAUAGUUUCUCUGGUGUGAAAACCUAAAAAGUGUAAAUGAGGGUCAAAAUAUAUAAUUGAUAUUGUGUAAUAGGAAGAAAAGGUCUAAAGUGGUAGGGGAAAAGCAAGAAGGGAAAAGAAAAAAUAUGAGUAAAGGAAGAAAUGGAAACAAAGUCUGUAAAUAGGGAUGGGUUGAGGGUUUGAAGGGAGUGCAGGGGAAUAGGGAAAAAAUAAGAACCAAGGAGCAUCACGUACAGGUACAAGUUCCCAAUGAUGACUAUAAGAAUAUUGUAUACCUAAAAUGUACAAAUAAACUUAAGGAAAAAAAUAACUAAUAUGAUCAACUUGUUCAAAUAUACACACUACUGAUAGUAUUUGUCUAAAGGCAUCCAGAGUUUAGUUGAGAGGGUAAACAACAUCCAUGAACUUGUCAGAGUUUGCACUAGGUAGAUGGAAGAUAUGAAAAGUAUUCAGUAUCACACUGGAAAUACACAUGCAAACACAUGCAUGCAUGUGCUAUCACACAAAAUCAGAUACAUGAAAUCCUACAACAGGGUCAUCAGUGGAGUCACUGCAGAUUAAGAAAUAAUCAUGUAGUAGAAAAAGAAACAACAGAACUUAUCUAAGAAUUAUUGUUUAGGAAAUGGAAUGAAUAAAAUGCACUACCAAAUAGUCUAACAUAAAGCAGUAAUGAAAUAGGAACAAUGUGAGGAGGUACAUGUCAACACUUUUUUGAAAAUAAGAAAGUUAUUAAGCCAUUGAUUAAGCAGUUCAAAGGAUCAUGGGAAGGAUAACUGUCAAGGACACUUGAGUCUUUCCAGAAAAAGAAAGGACAAAUGUAAAAAUGUAAAUUGAUAUGUGAGAAAUAAUGGAAAUUUUAAUUUCGAUUACUUUAAAACUAAGGGACUGAAGGAAAGUAAUACUACUGCAUUAUGAAUUUAAGCCACAUAUAAAAAUAGCAUUUAUGAGAAAAAUAACAAAAAAGAGGUGAUAAUCGAUCAUUAUUUUUCAAGCCAUCUGUUCUUGCUGCUUGUUCAAUAAGGGCUGGAUAUGUAGCUUAAUGGUACAGUGUUUGCCUAUUGUUGUUCAUGGCCUGGGUUCAAUCACCAGCACCAAAAAAGAAAAGAUAUAUAUAUACUUGGUAGCCAUUAUUAUAAUUUGGGGUUCAAAGCAAAGGUCAUUACUGCAUGGAGAAUAACAAAUAGAAUAUCAAGAAUAAACUAUAGAUAUCAUCAAGGGCUCACAAAAGUUAAAAUGUAAAGUGAAAGAUAUGAAAAUAUUCUGCUAAUGAAUUUGAUGAUGAAAAAAUAAAGUUCCUUAAAUGUACAUUAGGUGAAAUAAGUAAUGUGAGUAAUUAUCUACUUAAUAAAUUAAAGUGUUUUAUGAAAAGCAUUCAUAUGAAUAAAAUCUGCAUAAUGUUUUUUCCUUCGUAAAACAAAUCCUCACCUCUCCUUUACACUGAAUAUUGGAUGAACUCCCUGUAACAAUGUGGAAGAAGAGAACAGAACCAAAAGAUAGGAGAAUGUGAGCACUGAGUUACCUGCCAAAAACAGCCAACCCAAAAGUAAUCUGAGCCACAGGAUAAGUGUGAUACACCAAUAAAUUCAGGUGAUAGCCAUGAGUAUUGUUUUGUGUUGAGUGAGUCUAUUCCUGAAAGAUUCAUCACACUAGAAAAACUGUUUCCUAAUAUAAUUACCCUGCCUGUCAACAUCCAUCAUCUGUUAAGUUAUUCUUUCUUUUAAUAAGUUCAUUUUUAAGUAUCUGUUUAUACUUGAGACUUGGAAGCUUUAGCCCCCAAUGCCAAGCACUAUGUCUUCUAUUAGAAAAUGUAAAAAACAUUGAAAAAUGCACAUGUUUCAGUGACUGCUGUUUUAGAAACAUAUAAUAUCAGUAUUACUGUCUAGCCAUUCAUAAUAAUUAAUUAAUAAUUAGUAAUUUCUUUGUUGUUAUGGUCUUCUAAAUUAUCAUAAAUAUAUUAAAUAGCAAACUGCCCUAGCACCAUGAAAGAGGGAAUGAGAUCUCCCAUUAUUUCAGAGCAAUAACUUCUAUUACAUGAGCUAAGUAGUGAUAUGAGAAGGAAAUCAUUGGGCAAAUGCAAAUAGUUUAAAUGUUUCUUAUGGAAAAGAGAUUAUCUUGUGUUUAUUUAAUACUAUGAUGUAAGUGCUUUAUACCCUAUGUCAUUAAUAAAAUAGCACUAAUUUAAAUUAAAAUUUAGGAAUUUCUUCAAUUUAAAUAUCAUUUUUCAAGUUAGAGAAUCUAUUGACAGGUUUGCCAACAAAAAUCAAUAGCAUAAAUUUUCUAACUCAGAAAAAUAUAUUAAAAUUAAUGUAACAAAAGCCGCAUCUUAUAAAAGUAUCAAAUUGCUUUCAAUAAGAGGUUCAAUAUGGCUCAUAUACUGAAAACAUCUUAAUCUUUCAUGAUACAAUUACACACAUUAUUGGAUAUACAACCUCAAAGUAAACAAGGCAAGCAGCAAAUACUAUGCAAAAAAAUACAGAAAAAAUAUAUUGAUUAUAUAGACGUGCUCAUAACCACUGAUCUGAACGAUAUGCAUAGGAAUGUCAAUAAUUAAUACAAAAUUUUUCUUUUCUCUAAUAAUUGUCAUUUUUGAAAAAUUCUUCAAUAUUAGGACAUAUUACUUACCAAUAACUUCAUUCUAAUUCAAUAUUUAACUUUAUGCUGAAUCCAAAAUUGGGAGCUCCUGGCUUCUGUUUUUUUCUUUUUCAGGUGUUAUGUUUAUAUAUUAAAUUAUUCUUGAUAGUAGCCCUUUGUCUGAGUUAUAGCUGCUAAAAAUUUUUCCCACAUUGUAGGUUGUCAGCUCUGUUGGUGGUUUCUCUUCCAGUGCAGAAGCUUUUUAAUAAGAUGAGAUCCCAGUUCUUGAAACUUUCUGCUAGUUCCCAUGCUACUGAGGUUUUGUUCAUAAAGUCUUUUCCUAUGCCAAUAUCUUCAAGAGUUCUACCUAACUUAUCUUCCAGAAAGUUUAGAGUUCCUGUCUUUAUAUUGAGAUCUUUAAUCCAUAUAAAAUGUGUUAAGUAUUAAAUAUCAUAGUAAUACAAGGCAUCUGAUGAUAAUACCCAGAAUUCAUUGUCACUGCCAUCAACAUUUUACAACCACCUUUGACCAGAUGGACAUGGGAUUAUUAUAUAUCUUGUGGACUUGACCAUACUGACUGUUAGAAUUUCUGUGAAUUAAUCUGGGUAGUAUGCUAGAAAGGUGUCAGGGCAAGAAUCUAAAUGCCCAAUUCUUGAUUUUAAAGCCAUUUCCGAAAACAUUGUUGCUAUUAAUAUCUAUUAUAAGCAAAAUGACUAAUAUAAAAUUGUGUAAAAUUAGAGCAUGCUUGAAUAUAUUAUGAUGUCCUUUUCUAUAUGACCAGCAUAUUUUCUUGUUUUGCACAUUAGUUGCCCUUGAGGCCACCUAUAUUUACUCACAGAUUGACUCAUAUUUCAUGAUAGUCAGGUGAAACAUAAAUGUGU